CUUUGACAUUUUUAAAUAAUCUUCAGUUCAUCAGGAAACUCUUUCAUUGGUGGAAUUAUUUCUCCAUUCUCCAACAUUUUAUCACCUUAGGAAAACAAAGAAGGAUUGAGUACAAAAAUCUUAAAUGUGCAUAGGUAAAUAGUUUACCUGUGUUCUAUGUUGGCCAGACCUUGCAUGAAAAAGGUAGUUAAACUGUGAUGUUCUAUCCCUCCACACCCACCCCUCUUUUUCUUUCUUUCCAGACAGAGGCUCACUAUGCAAUUCAGGCUGGCCUUGAACUCACUGUGUAACCCAGUCUGGCUUGAACUUGUGACAGUCCUCCUGCCUCAGCCCUCCAGGUGCUGAGAUUACAUGCACGUACCACCAUACCAGGUUUGGCAUUCACUUUAAAAAGGACUCAAAGCAGCAGCCAUCUACAGAUAAACAGUAUUCACAGUUUUAAAGUACCAGAGAAAAAAUAAGUUUCACUAAACACAAUAACCAGAAAGGGUGUGACAGUUGUGUUUUCCAGGUGUUGAAAGGAAAUUUCUCUGCAUGGCCCAAGAGCUAGAAGCCCUAGAAAGAAUUUGCAAGGGCAUAUCUUCAGUUCGAUCUAAACAGUGGCCGGCUUCACUUCUUCGGUGCCUCCCCUCAUUCCUCCCUGCUCUGCCGGUCCCUUCAUCCACAGGGGCCCGUGGCUGUGAUUUACACCUGUGUCUCCCCACGUGUGCACUCUUCAAAGACAGUGGCCAGCUUCUUCGUCUGUGCACGUAUCUCCGCGCCCACCGUUCAGAGUCGUAAGCACCAACCAGCGUUCGCAUACUUCUUGGUUUCCUCACCCGAGGAGCGCGGGCAGGCUUUGGGGGACGCCUGAGCUCUGCGAUACCGCAUGGGGUACAAUCGCGUGGUUGGGGG
RNAcentral lists this long non-coding RNA (894 nucleotides) under Fukomys damarensis (Damara mole-rat). Its description in RNAcentral is "lncRNA (ENSFDAG00000032456.1)". The record is from RNAcentral. Lineage: Eukaryota; Metazoa; Chordata; Mammalia; Rodentia; Bathyergidae.